GAGAGACUCCCUCAAAAAAAAAAAAAGAAAAGAAAAAAGAAAAAAAGAAAAAAAAGAAAAACAAAUGAACAAAAAUGUGUCUUAAGUUAGGAUUCCCGAGCCCUUGCCCUGUGCCUGGCCCUGCACCCUGUGUCUUCAGUGCUGUGGAGAAUGCAGCACAGACCCUGCCCUCAAGGCUUACAGUCUAAGGCCUGAAUGACUAUGCCCAGCUCCCUCCCUUAAAAUGAAGGCUGCUAUUCCCAGAAGUCAGGGGCAGCCUGGAACCCAAGAGCCUUGUAUCCCUGUCCAGGGCAUUACAUUUCAUGAAGGCAAGAACAGACCAAAUCCUGUGGACUUUUGGCAGGCUCUGAAAUCAGCAUCUAGGCCUUAGGGGCUCAAAGCCCACGUG
This 388-nucleotide long non-coding RNA is filed under the name Pan troglodytes (chimpanzee). RNAcentral describes it as "long non-coding RNA NONPTRT011404". The record is from RNAcentral. Lineage: Eukaryota; Metazoa; Chordata; Mammalia; Primates; Hominidae.